Non-coding RNA from Pteropus alecto (black flying fox), 748 nucleotides. The record is from the annotation of a RefSeq genome assembly. Lineage: Eukaryota; Metazoa; Chordata; Mammalia; Chiroptera; Pteropodidae.
CCUACACACGAGGACUCCUGUCACGACGCAUAGAGGGAUGUCCUUACCGAAAGGCGGGGCAGAGCACGCAUCCUUAUGAGACGUCUUUAAAACACAGGCUGACAACUUCUUCCCGUUCUGAGCUGUUUGACGUUAUUUAGGUGCCUGACUUGCUCCUGUGAGGAAGGGCUGUGGUGGUUUGGCUCUGCGGCUCUAGCAUUUGUCCAGGACGGUGACAUCACUGAGUCACUGAGAGCACACGUUCUCUUUUCUCAAAACAGCCCUGGAAGACAUGAGAUGGUGCCCUGGACCUGACAUGGCCACCAGGCUCUUCUGUGCGGCUCUUUGCCUCUUGCGGGCAGGACACACAGAUGCUGGAAUCACCCAGAGCCCAAGAUACAAGGUCACAGGGACAGAAAAGAAGGUGACUCUGAGAUGUCAGCAGACUGAGAACCAUGACUAUAUGUACUGGUAUCGACAAGAUCUGGGCCAUGGGCUGACACUAAUCUAUUACUCAUAUGGCACUGGCAACAUUGGACAAGGAGACGUCCCUGAUGGGUACAACGUCUCCAGAUCAGACAUAGAGAGCUUCCCACUCACGCUGGAGUCGGCGACCCCCUCCCAGACAUCUGUGUACUUCUGUGCCAGCAGAGAAGCCACACUCUACAGCAUCUUAUCCUGUUCCGCCCUGCACCUGUAUCUCUCCAUCAUCUUCCCCGAGUCUCCCUCCGCUCCCUCUGCCCCAGCCGCGCUCAUCUGCACUCAGUGA